Molecule: non-coding RNA, 3320 nt
Organism: Delphinapterus leucas (beluga whale)
Lineage: Eukaryota; Metazoa; Chordata; Mammalia; Artiodactyla; Monodontidae
Source: RefSeq, a predicted model, not a curated record
CCAACUCCAGAAUGAGAACGCUAGGUCCAUUUAUUGAGUGCUUACUGCCAGGGUGACUGGUGGCUUUCUAAACGAUGGAGGCUCCAUCAGCCUGGAUCUUUAAAUGAAGAUGAUGCAGAGCCCAACACUCUCCACCGACCUGAGAGAGACACGUAGUGAUGAGCAUGAGCCUUCAUGAUGGUCACAGAUGCCGCAGGCUCGACUCUGCAGUUCAGCCUCAGUUCAGCUUCCUGCCCGCCAGGGAGCCAAAUACAUGCACUGUCCCUCCUCCACAUGGACUGUUCAGGUGCCUUCUAGAGGGAGGGCCACGUCUCCAGAGUGACUCUCCUGGUGGGAACAGCACACCCUGCAUCAGUAGCUGCUGGUGACCCUCCCUUCCUGAACUGAUUCCUGCCCAGUGUCCUCGGAGAGCCCUGCUCAGGAUCGCAGCAAGCAGUGAAGACAAGCCCCCUGAGUGCUCUGGACUUGUUUUUCUCAUCGGCAACAAGAGAACCUUGCCAGCUCCACUAUUCAGGUAGCCUCAGAACUGCUAAGCUGAGGUCCAGAGUAUAAAACAUCAGGUGAGGGAGACGUCACUCUGAUGUAGUUCUAACAGCAACCAUUUAUUAAGCUCUUAUUACACACUGGGCACUCUGCCUUAUGAGCCUUCUUUUGCUUAAUCCUUACGAGUGUCUUGCAAAGAAGAUUUGUGCAACCCCAUGUUACAGAAGAGAAAAAUGAGGGUCAGACUUGUCAAAACUUAUACAAAGAGAUCAUAGAGCUGGUAAGUGGUGGGAUCUUAGAGCUGGUAAGGCCCUUCUGUCUGUCCUAAUGCUCUUUUCCUUUGCACAGUACCUCUGAGUAAAGAGAAAUUGAUUCCCCUCAAAAAUGUUUCCAGAUACAAAGAAGGCACUCAUUAUGGAGCCCCAACCAAGCCUUCAGAUGACUGCAGCGCUGGCAGGUAGUUUAACUGUCACAUCGUAAGAGACCCUGAGUUAGAAACACCCAGUAAAUCUGCUCCUAGAUUCCUGACCAGCAGAAACUGUAUGAGAUAAUCAUUGUUCAUUGUUGUUUUAAGCCUAUAAAUUUUGGGAUAGUUUGUUGCCCAGCAGUAGAUAACGAAUACUGCAUCUGUCUACCAUUCAUUCAUCUGACAGACAUCCAUUCAUUAUUUAUUGUGACAAGCCCCAACCUACGUGCUUGGGAUGCAGUAGUGAACACGAUCAGUAUGGUACCUGCCCUGACGGAAAUGAUCAUUUGGCAGGAGAGAUGAACAUUAAGCAAGGAGACAAACAGGUAAAAGAACAUUGAGAGCCAGGAGGCAUCUUCUUUAAAAUUAAUUUGUUGGGGAAGUUGCAGAGGAAACAUUAAACCUGAGUCUUGAAGAUAGAAAGAGCCAGAAGGUUCUGGCAUUUUCCUCCCCACCCGUCUUGAUGUCCUCACUUUUUGGCUGCCUUGAGUUCUUCUGGAAAAUGACACAGGGUGUUAAAGAAACUAGAAAUUGAAAUGAUAGAGAAUUCUUAUUUCUCUUAGGGGCAGAAUCUCCCCUGUGGAGGAAAUGACCUUUGCUGGAUGAAUGCUUUAAAAAUCCCCCUGGGAGAGCUGGUACAGGUCAAAUAGCUCUGCCUAGGAAGGGAAUUAGGGAGAUUUAAGAAGCAGCCAAGGAGAGGGUUGGAGAAGGCUACAAGCUAAAGAAGAAUUUGGGGAGAAAAAAUAUCUAACAGGGAUUUUUAUUCCUUUGUUUCUCAAGUAAUGUGUGGUAAAAUGCUCUUCCUCCCAGUAAAAUCUCUUGCUUUCUGAUGCUUUCUGGAGUAGGUUGGCUUUUUGAAGAUAAGACAAAGGAGAAUAUGCCUUCCUUCAAGACUGACUUCAGGUGAACCCAAGGCUGUUCACAGGAGACCAGCCACUUACAUGUUAAACAAACACAUAAACACAGUGGUGUUAAUCAUAAAAAGAAAAAAUGCUUCUGAUCAUCACUGCAGUUCCGAAAUGGACAGCGGUGCCCCUGAUGCUCGUCAGUGGCAUCAGUGUCACUGCUGACAACUGUACAGAGGUUGCUGAAGGCUGAGGCCCAGGCAGGUGCUGCAGCAGCUGUCAACGCUGCUGGCAUCUGGCACCAUGCCUGGCACUUAGGAGAAGCUCAGGAAAUGUUGGCCGAAUGGGUGACUGAAUGCUCCCUGCGCUGCCGCUGCCUUGUCCUUCAAUGCUCCAGGGAAUGGGGUUCACGGGGUGCAGGGUGUGUAUUGCAGCCCCUUGUUCUGAGAUUCAGGAAUGCCUCCAUUGAGCUGGGCCUGGGACAAUGUCAGUGACAACACAGAAAUGACCACAGAGCUGCCACUUUCUUCUGAAGCUUGCCUGUCUUCUUGAAACAAACCACCUUGUGGACAUUUUUUCCCCCUGGAGUGAGUUCUUUCCCAAGGGCACCUUGGUCUCUUCUAUGAAUAGGCCUCCACUACUCUACUAGCCUUGAGGAGGUGCCUAGACUUUCCUGAAUUUGAGGGUGAACAUGGCUUAGGUUCAAGCAGGAACUUCUGCUACCUACAAUGUUCCCUGGAGAUCUAGACCAAACAUAAGCCCAACAGGGCCUGAUGACCUGAACUGUCCAAUAUGGUAACCAUGAGCUACAUGUGGCUCUUUAAAGUUGUUAAUGAAAAUUAAAUAAAAUUUAAAAUUCAGUUCCUCAGUGGCACUAGCCACAUGUGAAGUGCUUCACAGCCCAUACUGGACAGUGCAGAUUAUAGAUAGAACCUCUCCAACACCACAGUUUUAUUCAACAGACCUGCGUCUAGAGCCAGAGCUCAUAAAAUGGAUUCUGCUAUCAUAGAACUGACCAUUAUGUAUAAACAAGAAAACUAUUCACUAGGGAUAAACAGAAGUCUGUCUCACUCAUGGGUUAGGCACAAAAGUCAGCAUAUAAGGCAAAAAUGGCUUCAUGUCAAAUUUUCCCUUGAAAAAUCCCUUAGGAAAAUGUCACUUUGGAGACAAGCUCUCAGUAAAUUCAAGACUGCAGUACUUCAUCCAGCGUUGGAGCAGAAGAAGAAGGAUCUGAUUUGUAGUUAGGAGCAAUGCACAAGAAAGACCAAUGGUAUCUGUGAACACUGGUGUGACACCGCAGGGAGCUAGCCUUCAACUGUGAGAGACCCAGAAGCACCUGAAGGCACAUCUGAAUCACAUCUGCAUUCUCAGGCUCUCUGCUACUUCCAUGGGAUGACAGGAGGCAAAUUAAGACUGGAGAUUUAAAGUGCCCACCUGGGACUUCCCUGGUGGCGCAGUGGUUAAGAAUCCGCCUGCCAAUGCAGGGGACACGGGUUUGAGCCCUGGUCCGGAAGGUCUCACGUGCC